Molecule: ribosomal RNA, 504 nt
Filed under: uncultured bacterium
Lineage: Bacteria
Description: partial 16S ribosomal RNA
Rfam family: Bacterial small subunit ribosomal RNA
Source: RNAcentral
AUUGAACGCUGGCGGCAUGCCUUACACAUGCAAGUCGAACGGCAGCAUGGAGAGCUUGCUCUCUGAUGGCGAGUGGCGAACGGGUGAGUAAUGCAUCGGAACGUACCGUGUAAUGGGGGAUAACGUAGCGAAAGUUACGCUAAUACCGCAUACGACCUGAGGGUGAAAGCAGGGGAUCGCAAGACCUUGCGUUAUACGAGCGGCCGAUGUCAGAUUAGCUAGUUGGUGAGGUAAAGGCUCACCAAGGCGACGACCUGUAGCGGGUCUGAGAGGCGGGUCGGCCACGCGGGGACUGAGACACGGCCCAUACUCCUCCGUGAGGCAGCAGUGGGGAAUUUUGGACAAUGGGGGCAACCCUGAUCCAGCCAUGCCGCGUGAGUGAAGAAGGCCUUCGGGUUGUAAAGCUCUUUCGGCCGGGAAGAAAUCGCACAGGCUAAUACUCUGUGUGGAUGACGGUACCGGCAUAAGAAGCACCGGCUAACUACAUGCCAGCCGCCGCGGUAA